UACGUAGGUGGCAAGCGUUGUCCGGAUUUACUGGGCGUAAAGGGCGUGCAGGCGGUUUGUUAAGUGCAGGGUGAAAGCUCCCGGCUCAACUGGGAGAGGUCCUUGCAUACUGGCGAACUCGAGGGAGGCAGAGGAAAGUGGAAUUCCCGGUGUAGUGGUGAUAUGCGUAGAUAUCGGGAGGAACACCUGUGGCGAAGGCGGCUUUCUGGGCCUUACCUGACGCUGAGGCGCGAAAGCCAGGGGAGCGAACGGG
RNAcentral lists this ribosomal RNA (253 nucleotides) under uncultured bacterium. Its description in RNAcentral is "partial 16S ribosomal RNA". It matches the Rfam family "Bacterial small subunit ribosomal RNA", at positions 524 to 776 of the family's 1533-position model. The record is from RNAcentral.